Molecule: ribosomal RNA, 468 nt
Filed under: uncultured bacterium
Lineage: Bacteria
Description: partial 16S ribosomal RNA
Rfam family: Bacterial small subunit ribosomal RNA
Source: RNAcentral
GACGAACGCUGGCGGCGUGCUUAACACAUGCAAGUCGAACGGAAAGGCCCUGCUUUUGUGGGGUGCUCGAGUGGCGAACGGGUGAGUAACACGUGAGUAACCUGCCCUUGACUUUGGGAUAACUUCAGGAAACUGGGGCUAAUACCGGAUAGGAGCUCCUGCUGCAUGGUGGGGGUUGGAAAGUUUCGGCGGUUGGGGAUGGACUCGCGGCUUAUCAGCUUGUUGGUGGGGUAGUGGCUUACCAAGGCUUUGACGGGUAGCCGGCCUGAGAGGGUGACCGGCGACAAUGGGACUGAGAUACGGCCCAGACUCCUACGGGAGGCAGAAGUGGGGAAUAUUGCACAAUGGGCGGAAGCCUGAUGCAGCAACGCCGCGUGCGGGAUGACGGCCUUCGGGUUGUAAACCGCUUUCGCCUGUGACGAAGCGUGAGUGACGGUAAUGGGUAAAGAAGCACCGGCUAACUACGUG